This is a non-coding RNA of Camellia sinensis, 1992 nucleotides long. The record is from RefSeq and is a predicted model, not a curated record. NCBI's taxonomy places the organism in Eukaryota, Viridiplantae, Streptophyta, Magnoliopsida, Ericales, Theaceae.
AUAACAAAUUUGGGAUGCCAACAUCAUAAGGGUUUCAAUCUAUUUCUCUAUCUAAUGAUGAUGAAGGCCGAAUCUUGCUAGGGUGAUCAUCUCUGCUCUUCUCUUCUCUUCGCUUCGGUUGCUAGGGUUAUUGAACCAGUCGACUACUAGAUACUGAGAAACAAAGCAUUGAUGUAAAUCCAGAUGUGCACCGAUUCACCUUCAAUUCAAAUAGGGACUAAUCCAUCGAAUGCUGAAGCUCCUGUAAACGAGGAUUAAGCUCUACCACCUUUAGAUGAUCUUGAUUUGGGAGUUAUAGAAGGUCUUCCUCCAGAUCUAUUUUCAGAAAUUAAUGAUAUGUAUGAUGGGAAGUUGAUUAAUUUGAUUUCAAAAAAGAAAGGCAAAAAUGUGGAUGCCAGCAAUUCUCUGUGCAGUAUACGACAGGAGAGAGUACAAGUUGCAAUAAAUGAGGGUAAGGGACCCUUUUGGCUGGAUCCAGCUUGUGUAAAUGAAAGCCCUGUGGAGGAUAAGGUAUCAUUCUCAUUUGCUUAAAUAGCUUGCUUGAACAAUAGGUUUCUAUUUUCUCUCUUCCUUCGGAUUAUUAAAUUUUCCAAAUUCCACUUGUGGCUUUGAUCAAAAUCAAAUGAGAGAAUAUAUUACACGACACUUUUCAAUAUUCACCAGUCUUUGAUUAAUUAUGAUUUCUGAUAAUAAUGUUAGUUCAUGUAUGUGGGCCUUUAUCUUAAUUAAUUGACAAGUUACAUUUCAUGAGGCUGCAUGCUCUAUAGUUUGUAAGAAAUCUAUUUUAUUUGCACAUUAAUGCAGAAAAGUCAGGAAGAUGUCUUUAAUUUUCUUGGUCAUUAACUUGUUGUGUUUGUAUUGAUUAGUAUUGGUGUUUAUUUUAAGAAGAGAAUUGUCCAGUUGAGAACAAUCAGGGAGAGCGUUCUUUUGAAGCGGGACCCUCAAAUUCGGUCUUUUUCACUUCAGUUCCUAAUAAAAUUGAUUUAAUGCCUUCAUCUCUAAGUCAAGUAGAUAUCUCAGUGUUACAACAACUACCUAAGGAAUUAAGAGUUGACAUACUUGAGGUGCUUCCUACACAUAAGAGGUCAGAAUGUACAUCAGAUGCUACUUUGGGUCCUACAUCUAAAUUCGAAGAAUCACCAUGUCUGAAAUGUCCUGAGAACGGCCUGGGUCAAUGAAUUCUAUUUCAAGGAAUGAACUUUGGGUUGGAAAUCCACCAGAGUGGGUUGAGAAGUUCAAAGAUAGCAAUUGCUCGAUCUUCAAAUUUCUUGCGGACAUGUAUUACAGAUCAAGUUCGAGGGGUCGUCUGUCGUCUACUUUGCAAUGCACUCUUUUAGAAUCUGAACUUUAUAGUGAUGCAAGUAAUGAUGGAUGGGAUGAUGCUAUUGGUUGCUUGUGCGAUCUUCUCAAGCAGUAUAUUAAGCUACAAAUAGAAACAGAUAUUGAAGAGAUCUAUGUUUGCUUUCCUCUUCUUUGAAGGUUUACUACAAUGUCAAAAAUUUUCUUUCAAGUUUACAAUGUCGUCUUUCCUCACCUUCAGGUGACUUCCCGCAAUGUGCGGGGGUAUGGCUCUACUGCGGCGAGAGACUGGUAUGCCGAGCUCCCGGAGGCUGUUCGGGAUUUGGUUGACUUGACGGGGUUUGGGCCGUUCUGUACUGGGUUAUCCCGUUGCCCUGCCAGGAGGACGCUGAUGGCUGCCUUAAUGGAGAGAUGGUGGGACACCACCAACUCCUUCCAUUUUUUCGCUACGGGGGACUUGACUAUGACCCCCUUUGACUUCGCCGUACUGACUGGCCUGGACAUGGGAGGUUGGCCUAUCCUUUACGAUGAGGACAUGGGUCAGUGGGAGGCUUCCUAGAUAUAUUUGCUGGGGGCUCGCCCGCCUGUUGAUAGAGCUUCAGGGAAAGUCCGAUACACCUGGUUCUCUUCCCAUUUCCGGCGGGCGGAGAUGGAGCCCGGGACUCCUGAUGAGGCGGCACAGUAUGCCCGCGG